GAGAGAGAGAUGGACUACAAACUGGGACAGGUAGGAUGGAGAGAGAGAUGGACUACAAACUGGGACAGGUAGGAUGGAGAGAGAGAUGGACUACAAACUGGGACAGGUAGGAUGGAGAGAGAGCUGGACUACAAACUGGGACAGGUAGGAUGGAAGGAGAGAGAGAUGGGGAACAUGGACUACAAACUGGGACAGGUAGGAUGGAGGGAUGGAAGGAGAGAGAGAUGGACUACAAACUGGGACAGGUAGGAUGGAAGGAGAGAGAGAUGGGCAACAUGGACUACAAACUGGGACAGGUAGGAUGGAGGGAUGGAAGGAGAGAGAGAUGGACUACAAACUGGGACAGGUAGGAUGGAGGGAUGGAAGGAGAGAGGGGGCGGAGGAAAGGGAAGACAGACCAAAUGGCAUAGUUGUGUCCUUCUCUUGCAGAUAUGUUCAGUCUCUCUCUCUCUCUCUCUAAUUCCUCUCCUUUAUUGUCUCUCUCUCUCUAAUUCCUCUCCUUUAUUGUCUCUCUCUCUAAUUCCUCUCCUUUAUUGUCUCUCUCUCUAAUUCCUCUCCUUUAUUGUCUCUCUCUCUCUCUAAUUCCUCUCCUUUAUU
Oncorhynchus tshawytscha (Chinook salmon) is the source of this 597-nucleotide long non-coding RNA. The record is from Ensembl. Lineage: Eukaryota; Metazoa; Chordata; Actinopteri; Salmoniformes; Salmonidae.